AUUGUAUCCGAUUCAGAAAUGAAGUUGUCCUUCUCCUCCAGUGCUUCUCUCUUUCUUGUCAUCAUCAUCAAUGGUUUCAUUCAGUUCAGUGAAGCACAAGGGCAGCCAGGAAAACCUAACAUUAUAGUCAAUCAGGCUUCUGGAGAUGGGAUAGUCAAUAUCGCCUGCACGUUUAGCCAGGAAACUAAUACAAAUAUCAGCUGUUAUCUGUACACUGGAAACACAUCUGAGCCCUUCACUACAACAUGGACUAAAGGGCGAAAGGUCUGUAAUUUUGACAUACAUAAUACUGACCUACAGAAGCACUUAGAGUCUGCAUUCAGCAGGGAGCUGAGCUGUGAUUACACUGUGAACACAAAGCCACCGACUCGCUCUCCACGGAGUGAUAAAAGUGUAAUAGGAGGUGAGUGAGUUUAAUUCCAUAUUCAUUUUGUAGUAGGAGGAGAAAACAAGGUGUGUGUUAUUAAGUCCUGGGGGUGAGUAGCCAAUAGGAGAGGGCGCUCAGACUAUAAGGGUUACCCCAGCACAGACGCUUUAUGCUCCUUUUCGGUGGUCAUUUUAAUUGUUGGAUUCCCGGUUCGUUCCGGGAUUAGUGGUCGGGACAUCGUGCACCGGUGUGUUCAGCCCCUGGGGGGUGUAAAUAGUACAAGCUGUGACAGGACGCCUGACGCUGGGAAUAAUACGGCGGGGUUCCUCCUAAGGGUCCCG
Molecule: long non-coding RNA, 708 nt
Organism: Paramormyrops kingsleyae
Lineage: Eukaryota; Metazoa; Chordata; Actinopteri; Osteoglossiformes; Mormyridae
Source: RefSeq, a predicted model, not a curated record